GACGUAGGGGGCGAGCGUUGUCCGGAUUUAUUGGGCGUAAAGCGUGCGUAGGCGGCUGCGCAAGUCGGUUGUGAAACCCCGGGGCUCAACCCCGGAACUGCAUCCGAUACUGCGUGGCUAGAGGUAGGUAGGGGAGAUCGGAAUUCCUGGUAUAGCGGUGAAAUGCGCAGAUAUCAGGAGGAACACCGGUGGCGAAGGCGGAUCUCUGGGCCUUACCUGACGCUGAGGCGCGAAAGCUAGGGGAGCAAACAGG
RNAcentral lists this ribosomal RNA (253 nucleotides) under uncultured bacterium. RNAcentral describes it as "partial 16S ribosomal RNA". It matches the Rfam family "Bacterial small subunit ribosomal RNA", at positions 524 to 776 of the family's 1533-position model. The record is from RNAcentral.